GAAUAACCGCGUUAGGGAUAGAGGCGGCAUCCCCCAAUACGUAUUGGGGAUAUAGCCGAAAGCCCGGUUCGCC
This 73-nucleotide unclassified non-coding RNA is filed under the name Ulvibacter litoralis. Its description in RNAcentral is "Flavo-1 RNA". The record is from RNAcentral. Lineage: Bacteria; Pseudomonadati; Bacteroidota; Flavobacteriia; Flavobacteriales; Flavobacteriaceae.